UACAGAGGGGGCAAGCGUUGUUCGGAAUUACUGGGCGUAAAGGGCGCGUAGGCGGCCUGCUAAGUCGAACGUGAAAUCCCUGGGCUCAACCCAGGAACUGCGUCCGAUACUGGUUGGCUUGAAACCGGGAGAGGGAUGUGGAAUUCCAGGUGUAGCGGUGAAAUGCGUAGAUAUCUGGAGGAACACCGGUGGCGAAGGCGACAUCCUGGACCGGUAUUGACGCUGAGGCGCGAAAGCCAGGGGAGCAAACGGG
Molecule: ribosomal RNA, 253 nt
Filed under: uncultured bacterium
Lineage: Bacteria
Description: partial 16S ribosomal RNA
Rfam family: Bacterial small subunit ribosomal RNA
Source: RNAcentral